Molecule: ribosomal RNA, 253 nt
Filed under: uncultured bacterium
Lineage: Bacteria
Description: partial 16S ribosomal RNA
Rfam family: Bacterial small subunit ribosomal RNA
Source: RNAcentral
CACGUAGGGCGCGAGCGUUGUCCGGAAUUAUUGGGCGUAAAGAGCUCGUAGGCGGCCUGUUGCGUCCGCUGUGAAAGCCCGGGGCUUAACCCCGGGUCGGCAGUGGAUACGGGCAGGCUAGAGGUAGGUAGGGGAGAAUGGAAUUCCCGGUGUAGCGGUGAAAUGCGCAGAUAUCGGGAGGAACACCAGUGGCGAAGGCGGCCGGCUGGGGGUGCCCUGACGCUGAGGCGCGAAAGCGUGGGGAGCGAACCGG